GACGAACCGUGCGAACGUUGUUCGGAAUCACUGGGCUUAAAGGGCGCGUAGGCGGUUUGCCAAGUCAGGGGUGAAAUCCUGCAGCUCAACUGUAGAAGUGCCUUUGAUACUGGCGAACUCGAGAGAGGUAGGGGUGGGUGGAACUUCUGGUGGAGCGGUGAAAUGCGUUGAUAUCAGAAGGAACGCCGGUGGCGAAAGCGACCCACUGGAUCUCUACUGACGCUGAGGCGCGAAAGCUAGGGGAGCAAACGGG
This 253-nucleotide ribosomal RNA is filed under the name uncultured bacterium. RNAcentral describes it as "partial 16S ribosomal RNA". It matches the Rfam family "Bacterial small subunit ribosomal RNA", at positions 524 to 776 of the family's 1533-position model. The record is from RNAcentral.